Molecule: long non-coding RNA, 1853 nt
Filed under: Marmota monax (woodchuck)
Lineage: Eukaryota; Metazoa; Chordata; Mammalia; Rodentia; Sciuridae
Source: RNAcentral
UGAGAAUUGUGAUCAAUCAAGUUCUCCCAUAACGACAGACUGAGGAAUGAACAGGGAUGCAUUCCAAAGCCUGCUCUUCACCUGUCUUUUUUUUUUUUUCAUCUUCUUUCCAAACUUUGCAUUGGAAUUUUUCCAAAGCAGAAUAGCUGGACCAGUCUAAAGGUGAAGAUGGCACAGCUGUUCUUGCUCCAUAUGGGUUAUAAUGCUCAUUUGCCUCUUACCCUGGAUGUGGUGACAUAAACCCCUUGUGGCCUUCUCAUCCUGGCCACAUUCAUAUAGUUUUGUUUCAUCAUUAGCUCAGAUUUGUAUCAUCAACCACCAGGAGUUCUGUGGUAGUUUGGUGGGGGUUCCAGUUCUGUUCUUUGUCAACUAGCUUUGAUGCUAGUUUCUGCUCAACCUUCUGUUGAGCAGAACACAAACAUCUGCCCCGCCUCUAGGCCAAGGAGAAGACGGGUUAAUAUUCUGCCAACUGAAACCCUUUCUAAGGUACCGUGUACACAUGGGAAAAUGAACAGAUUCCAAGGGAAUCAGAAUUGAGACUAGAAAAAACAACAAAAAAACAAACUUUUUUUAUUGGCCACAAGAUGGCACUCUUGGCUUUUCUCACAUAUCUUUCCAAACCCCCCAACCCCUGCUCCACUUUACACCUUUGCAGCUUUAGGAGGUCGGUAAUUUGAUGAUGGGUAAAGCCAGCUACAGCUGUGGUCAUUUCUACUCAGGAUUAUGACUACUUUAUGCCUAAUGGAGAACAUCUGAAAAAUAUUCUCAAGGAAUAACUGUCCUCCAAAUGUGAACUGAAAAUAAAAAUGUGCCUAUUAAGUGAAUAAGUGGUCAGAACGUUAGACAUGAGUAGUGGGUGGAUGGCAGUGGAGGAGGCUUUAACCUAUCCUAACACUUAUUAAGCACUAAAAUUUAGUGUAUUAUUUUCAAGUAAUGAAGAUUAUUUCAUGUCUGUGGCUAUUAAAGGCAUUAAUUUGUUAAAUGCAAACUUUUAAAACUGUACGGUAAUUGAAUCUUUUGCCAUGACUUAUUUAUUCAUUUAUUUAUUUUUACACUUGGAGAGAUUUCCAAAAGUGGAGCCAUUAUGAUCUCUUGUGGCACCUGAAAGGCAACACUGGGUUUGUAAUUAUUCCAAUGAAAAGAAAAAAUUGCCAGUUGUUCAUUCAAGAAUAUUUAUUGAAAUGUGCUAGGUGCAGAUGUCAAGUUCAAUUCUAAACUGAGCUAGUAAAACUUUUUUCUGCUAAAUUCUUUAGGAAUUACUAAAAAUAAAAGUUCGCAUUUUAUGGUAUGCCUUCACUUUUUAAAGCUUUCGCAUAAGGCUUUGAUCACCGUAACAAGCCCUUGGAUGUGUGGAGCGAGUGCUGUUUUCUCUAUAAACCAUAGUAUGCCUUUUAUUAGAGAUGAUUUUUUAUGUUUUAAAUGUUUUUGAGAGGUUGAUGAGAGUUCCAACAAUAUCAGUGCAAGUCCCAAUUUAUAUGCCACAUGAUCGAUCAGUUCUGUGCAUCAGUAUCUGGGUUAAUAAGUACAUCAAGCAGCAUCUCAAGGGAGCUGGCAUUCCUUAUGUUCUUCAUCAACAUACUUACUGUUUUUUGUAUGGCUCACUAAUGUUUUCUGAAUCUUUUGUAAAUUGACAAAUAAAAGUAACUUUGGUGCCCCCUUCCAACACCAGACUCCUCCUGUAGAUACUUAGCUUAGAACUGACACCAACUUCCACUUCCACUCUUGAUUUGGCUGUAAUUUACUAUUAACCCUAUCAAGUUUUGACUUUUCUGAGACUGGGUCUUAAUCUUUAGCCUUUAAAAUUCAGGAUUAGACUUUGAUCUUUGAGGUUAGUCUACCUAUGUAAGUCUAAC